Paenibacillus sp. is the source of this 190-nucleotide non-coding RNA. It matches the Rfam family "6S / SsrS RNA". Rfam says of the family: E. coli 6S RNA was the first non coding RNA to be sequenced, but its function was unknown until recently. It consists of 184 nucleotides that fold into an extended hairpin structure with a large single-stranded internal bulge. The record is from Rfam. NCBI's taxonomy places the organism in Bacteria, Bacillati, Bacillota, Bacilli, Caryophanales, Paenibacillaceae.
UACAUCCUGCAAUGUACGUUUUGAUUAUCUGUUGUUUUGAACCAAUAACAAUGUCUUGGGAGAUUCAAAUUGAACUGUAGCUGACCAGCCCUAUCCAUUGGAUGCGGGGACUUCAAAAACAGUUUUGCGAUCACCCACCUGCUACGCAGGUUCGAAGGCAAUGUAAUCAGACGGCAUAUGCGGGACUUUU